This 492-nucleotide ribosomal RNA is filed under the name uncultured bacterium. Its description in RNAcentral is "partial 16S ribosomal RNA". It matches the Rfam family "Bacterial small subunit ribosomal RNA", at positions 29 to 507 of the family's 1533-position model. The record is from RNAcentral.
AGUGAACGCUGGCGGUAGACCUAACACAUGCAAGUCGAACGGCAGCACAGUAAGAGCUUGCUCUUACGGGUGGCGAGUGGCGGACGGGUGAGGAAUACAUCGGAAUCUACUUUUUCGUGGGGGAUAACGUAGGGAAACUUACGCUAAUACCGCAUACGACCUACGGGUGAAAGCAGGGGAUCUUCGGACCUUGCUCGAUUGAAUGAGCCGAUGUCGGAUUAGCUAGUUGGCGGGGUAAAGGCCCACCAAGGCGACGAUCCGUAGCUGGUCUGAGAGGAUGAUCAGCCACACUGGAACUGAGACACGGUCCAGACUCCUACGGGAGGCAGCAGUGGGGAAUAUUGGACAAUGGGCGCAAGCCUGAUCCAGCCAUACCGCGUGGGUGAAGAAGGCCUUCGGGUUGUAAAGCCCUUUUGUUGGGAAAGAAAAGCAGCAGGUUAAUACCCCGCUGUUCUGACGGUACCCAAAGAAUAAGCACCGGCUAACUUCGUG